CCUAAUUGAUCUUUAGCCAUUCUUAAACUAAAUCAAAGCCUUAGCCGCAGCAAUAUGGAAGAUAAAACGCCCUAAGGCUCUCCCCUCCAUCUUUCGCCGUUUCAAAUCCUAGAUUCCCCGUCCAAUCCGAUCGGAACAGAGUAGACGAGGAUUCCUACGGCGUGAUAUCACAAGUAAGAUCCUUCUCUUUUUCUUUUUGUAUAGCAAAUAGAAAGAAGCAAAGAAAAAUAAUAGAGAAACGCAGAAGAAAAAAAAAACAAAAAUGGUGAAUCACCUUCUCAAAACUCAAAAAACUUUGUUUUUGAUUCUUUCUAUUGAUAUUAUGUGAUCGUAUGCGUGGGUUUCCCCCUUCAAAUACAGAAAAAUGGCUUUUUAUAUAGCCUGAUCCAAAAGAAGAAAAAAAAUCAAAAUACAUCCUUUUUCUGUCCUCUUUGCUAUUUUUUCGUUUUUGUCUGCUGCUUUGUUCGUUUUGUUUGUUGCAGGAGUACAGAGCAGUGGACGUGGAGGCUCACGUGGAUUUGGUGCGGAGGCACUACACGUGCGCAGGCGCAACAAGUGCGAGGAGGAGGCCUGGCUCUGCUGCGGCGCUAGAGGUUCUAGGGUUCCCUGCUGCUGAUUCUCUCUGUUUUGGGCUGCGGGUAUUUGGGCUUGAUUUUGGGCUAGUAAUUUGGGUUUAGGUUUACUAUUUGGGUUAAGGACUGAAUUGGGCUUUGAGUCUGUAAAUGGACAUUUAUUUAUUUUUUUGGGAUUUUGGUUUGAUUUUAAUAUUUAUAAAAACUAGGCUGUUAAUUGUGGAUGUUUUAAUUUAAUUUAUUUUUUGGUAUUUAUUGGGCCGGGCAAAAUGGGUUAUUACAAUAUAUGUUUAUAUAUUUCUUUUUAUAAAUGCAUUAUAUUUUUUAUGAAUCUUAUAAUCUAUAUCUUCAUGUAAAUCCAUGUGUUUUUUUUCUUCAUAAUUUCAACAUACAUAUUAUAUACACAUUUUAUUUUUUAUUUUAUAAUUUUGUUUAUUUCUUUCACUCGUUUAUUUAUUUGUGCUUUCAUUUAUAUUCUAAAGGAUGUUUUUUUAUUUAUUUUUGUUCAUUUACUUGAUAUUUCGUAUGUCAUUGUUUUAUUAUUUAUAUUAUUUCUCUACAAUUGUUGUAUUUGUUAUUGCGACAUUUAUACAUACAUUCAAUAUAACAUCACAUCAUCUUUUUACUCGAAUUUAAAAAUAGAAAAUUUUCAAAAUAGAGAUAAUACUCGUAUUUAGGAUUUUCAAGGAAAUUGAGCCCUAAUGUAUUGGGUUCCAAUUUUUUUCGUAAAAUCUAACAAUCGAGAAUUUCUCUUUAAUCAAACAAAAUAAAGCUUAUCAUCAGGAAUUCAACAUAUUGUGUCCUAAUGUAUUGGAUGUGACGCAUUGAUUUCUCAAGAUAAAGAUUUUUCUAAAAAAUAAUAAAGGAAAUAUUCGAUGCUUAGAAUUUUGAGAAAUUGUGCCCUAAUGUAUUGGGCCGCGAUUUCUUUAUAAAUCUUAAACAAAUGAAUAUUCUUGUAAAUUUUAUUACACAAGUAUUUUGGACAAACUCAUUUUUGGAGAAGUAGAAUGUCGUGCUCUAACGCAUUGGGUGUGACAUUUUCUUUUUCCGAAAUAAGAAAAGUCUAAAUAAGUAACGCAUUUUUAAAGUUUCUACUAAGGAUCAUAUUUUUUUAACUCUCGAAAUUAAGACACUAAUUAAUCAACUAGGUACCAAUUUUUGGGCGUAACGAGGGUGCUAAUCCUUCCUCGUAUGUAACCGGCUCCCGGAUCCGUUUUUCUAAAACUCGUAGACAAAAGCCGUUUUUAGGUGAUCCAAUCACACCUCAAUAAAAGAUUGGUGGCGACUCCCAAUUUUUCAUUUUUUUAAAUCGACAAUUAAUUUUUGUUUUUUUAAAAUAAAAAUGGUUUCGACAGUAGAAGUAGACCUCAUAUAAAAAAUUUCUUAAUAUCUUUAUAUUUUAAAAAUUAUAAAAGAAUUCUUUUAAUUUUAAAAUUUUCUAAUAUAAUUAUUUUUAUUCAUAUACCUCUAAUAUGAUAUUUCUUAUUUUAGUGUGCAAGGCAAUGAGGAGAUAGUAAUCGAAGAGAUAAUGAGAAUUGGAGGGCAACAAUAGGGAGCUAUCGAAGGCAGAGGGAAGAGGAAUUCGGGAUACUGGUGAGUGGUUGGUUAAUUGGAUUUUCCUUUAUUUAUUUAGUUUGAUUGGAAACAUGAGAAUUGUCUCCUGGAAUAUCAGAGGGUUGGGGUUGGUAGCUAAAAUAGAACCUGUCAAUUGACUAGUGAGAAAGAUUAGGGCAAAUGUAUGCUUCCUUCAAGAAACUAACUAAGUUAGAAAUGGUGUUAGUGGAUUUAGUUAGAAAAAUUUAAGGCAAUAACUCUGUUUUGAAUUGACAUCUGUAGCUG
This 2411-nucleotide long non-coding RNA is filed under the name Gossypium barbadense (sea-island cotton). Its description in RNAcentral is "long non-coding RNA (GBAR_LNC013805)". Lineage: Eukaryota; Viridiplantae; Streptophyta; Magnoliopsida; Malvales; Malvaceae. The record is from RNAcentral.